AGUGAACGCUGGCGGUAGGCCUAACACAUGCAAGUCGAACGGCAGCACAGUAAGAGCUUGCUCUUACGGGUGGCGAGUGGCGGACGGGUGAGGAAUACAUCGGAAUCUACUUUUUCGUGGGGGAUAACGUAGGGAAACUUACGCUAAUACCGCAUACGACCUACGGGUGAAAGCAGGGGAUCUUCGGACCUUGCGCGAUUGAAUGAGCCGAUGUCGGAUUAGCUAGUUGGCGGGGUAAAGGCCCACCAAGGCGACGAUCCGUAGCUGGUCUGAGAGGAUGAUCAGCCACACUGGAACUGAGACACGGUCCAGACUCCUACGGGAGGCGGCAGUGGGGAAUAUUGGACAAUGGGCGCAAGCCUGAUCCAGCCAUACCGCGUGAGUGAAGAAGGCCUUCGGGUUGUAAAGCCCUUUUGUUGGGAAAGAAAAGCAGCGGGUUAAUACCCCGCUGUUCUGACGGUACCCAAAGAAUAAGCACCGGCUAACUUCGUG
Molecule: ribosomal RNA, 492 nt
Filed under: uncultured bacterium
Lineage: Bacteria
Description: partial 16S ribosomal RNA
Rfam family: Bacterial small subunit ribosomal RNA
Source: RNAcentral